UUGUCUUACAGCAUCAGGGUUCUUAUAACGGCUGAAGCGUUUCACAUAUUGUAGUGACUUUUCAAACACCUGGGAAACUUGAUUCGUUGGAUCCUCAGACAUUUGUUGAAGUUGCUCGUAUUUAUGUUCAAGAAUCAGAGAAACUUCACAAUUCAUUAAACAUUUGGCCUUUAAGAACUCAUCUCCAAUUUUAAGCUCAGCAGCAUUUUCUUCCUCCUCCCCAGACAUGCUUGAAGUUGGAGUUUUGUAUCAACCUAGAGAUGGAGUUUUGCAGGUUAGCGUAGCAGCGAGCUGGCGACCAGGGAGAAACAAAGAAAAUUGACUGCGGGGGCGUAGGGGCGGCCGAUAAUGGAAGUGGUGGAGAAGGGGAAAGGGAGAAAAGAAA
RNAcentral lists this unclassified non-coding RNA (385 nucleotides) under Hevea brasiliensis (rubber tree). Lineage: Eukaryota; Viridiplantae; Streptophyta; Magnoliopsida; Malpighiales; Euphorbiaceae. The record is from RNAcentral.